CUACGGGUGGCAGCAGUAAGGAAUAUUGGUCAAUGGACGAAAGUCUGAACCAGCCAUGCCGCGUGGAGGAUGAAGGUCCUCUGGAUUGUAAACUUCUUUUAUCUGGGAAGAAAUCCAUGGUUUCUACUAUGGUUGACGGUACCAGAUGAAUAAGCACCGGCUAACUCCGUGCCAGCAGCCGCGGUAAUACGGAGGGUGCAAGCGUUAUCCGGAUUCACUGGGUUUAAAGGGUGCGUAGGUGGGCAGGUAAGUCAGUGGUGAAAUCUCCGAGCUUAACUCGGAAACUGCCAUUGAUACUAUCUGUCUUGAAUACCCUGGAUGUGAGCGGAAUAUGUCAUGUAGCGGUGAAAUGCUUAGAUAUGACAUAGAACACCAAUUGCGAAGGCAGCUCACUACGGGAAUAUUGACACUGAGGCACGAAAGCGUGGGGAUCAAACAGGAUUAGAUACCCGAGUAGUC
Molecule: ribosomal RNA, 459 nt
Filed under: uncultured bacterium
Lineage: Bacteria
Description: partial 16S ribosomal RNA
Rfam family: Bacterial small subunit ribosomal RNA
Source: RNAcentral